Pipistrellus kuhlii (Kuhl's pipistrelle) is the source of this 604-nucleotide long non-coding RNA. RefSeq lists it as uncharacterized. The record is from RefSeq and is a predicted model, not a curated record. Lineage: Eukaryota; Metazoa; Chordata; Mammalia; Chiroptera; Vespertilionidae. The transcript has 3 exons.
UCAUGGGGCGGACCUUCACUUUUCCGUGAGGCAGUCAGUGUUUCUUUCCCAUCAGGGUACCAUUUGGCACGUGUCAGCAGUGAAAACCUUGGUCAACAGAACCAAGCUAAAGAGGCUAAUGAUCUUCAGAGGACUUGUGCCUGAGAAAAUUUGGCAAAAGCUGUCUGUCGCUGAAGUCUCUUAGGAUGGAUGUCAGUGACCUAAUGUAUGGCAUGUUGAGCUUUCUCUCCCAUGGCACAGGGUUUGAUGUCAGCAGCUUCUGGGCAAUUUCAAUCAAUGAGCGCAAAUAAUGGAAAAAUUAAAGUAAAAAAAAAAAAUGGAGAUUUGGCCCCAGGAAUACAUACAGAGAAAUAGGUUAACAUUAUGUUGCUAAACUUCAACAUGUCCUUUGAUUAAGCUUUCAGAGGAUGAUGUAAAAUGGACCACAAAGGCACAUUUCAAGUGAACCCCAUGCAAGAUUAUUAUAUUCAGAUUUCCACGAAGCUGUGGCUGGGCAUUUUUUAUUGCUUGUGUCUUCUUGCUGGAAAUAAAAGAACUUGAGAUUUUGUCCUCACUCUUUGUAUAUCUUCUCUAAUGGGAGGGAAAAGCAACCUUUGGCAUAUAC